RNAcentral lists this ribosomal RNA (116 nucleotides) under Lasioderma serricorne (cigarette beetle). RNAcentral's name for it is "partial 16S ribosomal RNA". The record is from RNAcentral. Lineage: Eukaryota; Metazoa; Arthropoda; Insecta; Coleoptera; Ptinidae.
AAAAUUUUAAAGGUCGAACAGACCUAAUAAAUUAACUUUUGCAUUAAUUAUAAAUUUUAAUCCAACAUCGAGGUCGCAAACUUAUUUUUCGAUAGGAACUCUAAAAAUAAAUUACG